GUAUGUGAGUGCAAUCUGGCUGCAACAUCUGUCACCCCAUUGAUUGCCAGGGCUGAUUCCGUUGAUUUGGCUGCCUAGGCAGGUGUCUCCUUCCUCCCUCACCACUACAUGUGCAUCCCUUCUAAAGUUGCACACUCAGUCAAAGAGGAUGACCUUCCCUGCUAGAGGAGGACUGUUCUUCAGUUCAAGGGUAUACAAGCAGCUGCACUCCCCUGCUAGAACCUCUGAACAAGCUCUCAAAGUGUAUAAUCAAUGGUGGGGUUUUUUUAGCUGUUAAAAAAUCCUUUAUUGUAAAAAUGUAAAAUAAAUAGAAAGAUAGAUUGAAAGAAAUUACAAAUUU
This 340-nucleotide small nuclear RNA is filed under the name Dasypus novemcinctus (nine-banded armadillo). RNAcentral describes it as "7SK RNA (ENSDNOG00000028575.1)". It matches the Rfam family "7SK RNA". From Rfam's summary of the family: 7SK was discovered as an abundant small nuclear RNA in the mid-70s but a possible function has only recently been suggested. Two independent studies have found that 7SK RNA binds the CDK9/cyclin T complex (known as elongation factor P-TEFb). The record is from RNAcentral. Lineage: Eukaryota; Metazoa; Chordata; Mammalia; Cingulata; Dasypodidae.